RNAcentral lists this transfer RNA (85 nucleotides) under Candidatus Omnitrophota bacterium. RNAcentral's name for it is "tRNA-Leu". It matches the Rfam family "tRNA". Rfam says of the family: Transfer RNA (tRNA) molecules are approximately 80 nucleotides in length. Lineage: Bacteria; Pseudomonadati; Candidatus Omnitrophota. The record is from RNAcentral.
GCUGGGAUGGCGGAAUUGGCAGACGCACUACUUUGAGGGGGUAGCGCCGCAAGGUGUGGGGGUUCAAAUCCCCCUCCCAGCACCA